AGUGAACGCUGGCGGCAGGCCUAACACAUGCAAGUCGAGCGGCAGCGCGUCCGACCACCCUCGGGUGGUCGGAUGGCGGCGAGCGGCGGACGGGUGAGGAAUGCAUCGGAAUCUGCCUCGUUGUGGGGGAUAACGUAGGGAAACUUACGCUAAUACCGCAUACGACCUACGGGUGAAAGUGGGGGACCUUCGGGCCUCACGCGAUGAGAUGAGCCGAUGCCGGAUUAGCUAGUUGGCGGGGUAAAGGCCCACCAAGGCGACGAUCCGUAGCUGGUCUGAGAGGAUGAUCAGCCACACUGGAACUGAGACACGGUCCAGACUCCUACGGGAGGCAGCAGUGGGGAAUUUUGGACAAUGGGGGCGAACCCUGAUCCAGCCAUGCCGCGUGAGUG
Molecule: ribosomal RNA, 392 nt
Filed under: uncultured bacterium
Lineage: Bacteria
Description: bacterial SSU rRNA
Rfam family: Bacterial small subunit ribosomal RNA
Source: RNAcentral